RNAcentral lists this unclassified non-coding RNA (314 nucleotides) under plant metagenome. RNAcentral describes it as "partial contains 5.8S ribosomal RNA, internal transcribed spacer 2, and large subunit ribosomal RNA". The stretch from base 1 to 105 matches the Rfam family "5.8S ribosomal RNA", at positions 50 to 154 of the family's 154-position model. The record is from RNAcentral.
GAAAUGCGAUAAUUAAUGUGAAUUGCAGAAUUCAGUGAGUCAUCGAGUCUUUGAACGCACAUUGCGCCCCCUGAUAUUCCGGGGGGCAUGCCUGUCCGAGCGUCAUUGCUGCCCUCAAGCACGGCUUGUGUGUUGGGCUUCCGUCCCUGGCAACGGGGACGGGCCCAAAAGGCAGUGGCGGCACCAUGUCUGGUCCUCGAGCGUAUGGGGCUUUGUCACCCGCUCCCGUAGGUCCAGCUGGCAGCUAGCCUCGCAACCAAUCUUUUUAACCAGGUUGACCUCGGAUCAGGUAGGGAUACCCGCUGAACUUAAGC